This 699-nucleotide ribosomal RNA is filed under the name uncultured bacterium. RNAcentral describes it as "bacterial SSU rRNA". It matches the Rfam family "Bacterial small subunit ribosomal RNA", at positions 8 to 696 of the family's 1533-position model. The record is from RNAcentral.
AGAGUUUGAUCCUGGCUCAGAUUGAACGCUAGCGGCAUGCUUAACACAUGCAAGUCGAACGGUAACAGUGCCAGCUUGCUGGCAGCUGACGAGUGGCGGACGGGUGAGUAACGCGUAGGAAUUUACCUUGUAGUGGGGGACAACCCGGGGAAACUCGGGCUAAUACCGCAUAAUCUCUACGGAGCAAAGAGGGCCUCUAUUUAUAUGCUCUCGCUAUUAGAUGAGCCUGCGUCGGAUUAGCUUGUUGGUGGGGUAAUGGCCUACCAAGGCGACGAUCCGUAGCUGGUCUGAGAGGACGACCAGCCACACUGGGACUGAGACACGGCCCAGACUCCUACGGGAGGCAGCAGUGGGGAAUAUUGGACAAUGGGCGCAAGCCUGAUCCAGCAAUGCCGCGUGUGUGAAGAAGGCCUUCGGGUUGUAAAGCACUUUCAGUGGGGAAGAAAGGCUUAAGGUUAAUAACCUUAAGAGUUGACGUUACCUACAGAAGAAGCACUGGCUAACUCUGUGCCAGCAGCCGCGGUAAUACAGAGAGUGCAAGCGUUAAUCGGAAUUACUGGGCGUAAAGCGCGCGUAGGUGGAUACUUCAGUCGGAUGUGAAAGCCCUGGGCUUUACCUAGGAACUGCAUUCGAUACUGGGUAACUAGAGUAUGGUAGAGGGGAGUGGAAUUUCCGGUGUAGCGGUGAAAUGCGUAGAUA